AGACUUCCACUGACACCUCCUCCCCGAGUCGACUUGUUCUGGUAUCAUAAGUCAGAAAUGGAUCUUGGUGCUUCUGGUUGCAAGGGAGGUUUGCAUUCUGAGUGUCUGGCGGGGAGCAGGGCAUGGCUGUGACUAAUCGUGACUCAUCCCUCAGGACUGGGGCACACGCACUGCCUCCAACAAGCUGGGGUUCUGUCAGGAAGGAAGAAUGAGGGGUGGCACACCGUCCUCGAACCCCCAGGGCAAACUUGACCUCGUUAGAUUGGAAGAUUUCUUUUCAGUCUCCUGUCCUGAAGUGAAAAGUUGAUUGGAGAUCCCCUUUAACAAGAUGACUAGUAUGGACUUUCUUUCCUGUGCUGAUUCUCAUAUAUUGGAACAGAUAUUAUUUUGUUCCACUGAAAUGAAUAGGCAGUUUUCAAAAAAAGAAAAAGAAAGAAGAAGAUACACAUAGAUGGCCAAACUAUCUGCUGAAAAAAAAAAAAUCUCAAUUUUCUUCAUCAAGACAUGUAAAUCGGACUUCCCUGGUGU
Molecule: long non-coding RNA, 528 nt
Organism: Capra hircus (goat)
Lineage: Eukaryota; Metazoa; Chordata; Mammalia; Artiodactyla; Bovidae
Exons: 3
Source: RefSeq, a predicted model, not a curated record